Molecule: transfer RNA, 73 nt
Organism: Camelus ferus (Wild Bactrian camel)
Lineage: Eukaryota; Metazoa; Chordata; Mammalia; Artiodactyla; Camelidae
Rfam family: tRNA
About the family: Transfer RNA (tRNA) molecules are approximately 80 nucleotides in length. Their secondary structure includes four short double-helical elements and three loops (D, anti-codon, and T loops).
Source: Rfam
GAAGGUAUAGCUCAAGUGGUAGAGUGCGUGCUUAAUAUGCACCAGGUCCUGGGUUCAAUCCCCAGUACCUUCU